Molecule: long non-coding RNA, 871 nt
Filed under: Mus spicilegus (steppe mouse)
Lineage: Eukaryota; Metazoa; Chordata; Mammalia; Rodentia; Muridae
Description: lncRNA (ENSMSIG00000016845.1)
Source: RNAcentral
GGCGACGCCUCCAAACAGCAGAUUCCAGGCGGCAAUGACGUCACCUUUCCCUUUCCUGCCGCCCAGGCCUCUAGGCGCUGCUGCUUGGGGCCCAGGGGCUGCAAGGCUUCCCUGGGCCCCGUUCUGUGCCCCCACAGAGCAGCCCCAAGCCAAGACUCCAAGGAAGAGAAAGAACAUCAUGUCUUACUAUGGCUCAGACAUUUACUGAAGGAACUGAGACAGCUUUCCUGUGCCUGGGGGCUGUGGAUGUGUAGGCGGCUAUGCUAAAUUUAACAUGACCUAUCUGUGCUUUCCAUUUUACUGUGAGGGUGUCUUCGGAGCACUUUUGACUGCCAAAUGUCCGAGCAAGAAGAAGCUGGAUUCAGAUGUUGGAACUCAAGGAAAUUAGUGCUGCUAGGUCUUACAGUAUGAUGAACUGCCCCGGCAGGUGAUCUGAGGUCUGCAGGGAUCUACCCAGAAGACAGGAGCGGGGCGUGGCCGGCCGGGAGAUGGAGCUGUUGAGGAAGAGCGGAGCAUGGGAGAGGCAGAGCAUAGGAGGCUCUGGAAAAGAGAGAGGUUCCAGAGGCUCUGGCAGGGCAGCAGAUGGGCAAAGGCAGGCAUUGAGUGCAGGACGCAGGAGAGGUUGACUGAACUGCAAAACCUGGCCAGCCAACAGAAGGCAGCACCAGCAGGUGACUAGCAGAUAGAGGCUGGCCAAGGCUACCCGGCUCAGUGCCUCUUUCCGGUGGUGCACACCCUGCAGGGUGUCCCAGGCCAUUUUAGUUGCUGAUCCAAAAAAGGCUGGGCAAUGGAAACAAGGCAGCAGAUACAUCUUUCACACCUGCUGAACACUCACCAACUCGUCAACACUGGGCAGUGGGCAGAUUCCUAA